AGCGAACGCUGGCGGCAGGCUUAACACAUGCAAGUCGAGCGGGCACUUUCGGGUGUCAGCGGCGGACGGGUGAGUAACGCGUGGGAACGUGCCCUCUGGUUCGGAAUGACUCAGGGAAACUUGAGCUAAUACCGGAUACGCCCUUUUGGGGAAAGGCUUGCUGCCGGAGGAUCGGCCCGCGUCUGAUUAGCUAGUUGGUGAGGUAACGGCUCACCAAGGCGACGAUCAGUAGCUGGUCUGAGAGGAUGAUCAGCCACACUGGGACUGAGACACGGCCCAGACUCCUACGGGAGGCAGCAGUGGGGAAUAUUGGACAAUGGGCGCAAGCCUGAUCCAGCCAUGCCGCGUGAGUGAUGAAGGCCUUAGGGUUGUAAAGCUCUUUUAUCCGGGACGAUAAUGACGGUACCGGAGGAAUAAGCCCCGGCUAACUUCGUG
RNAcentral lists this ribosomal RNA (435 nucleotides) under uncultured bacterium. Its description in RNAcentral is "partial 16S ribosomal RNA". It matches the Rfam family "Bacterial small subunit ribosomal RNA", at positions 29 to 507 of the family's 1533-position model. The record is from RNAcentral.